GAGUUUGAUCCUGGCUCAGGAUGAACGCUGGCGGCGUGCUUAACACAUGCAAGUCGAGCGAUGAAGUCUCCUUCGGGAAACGGAUUAGCGGCGGACGGGUGAGUAACACGUGGGUAACCUGCCUCAUAGAGUGGAAUAGCCUUCCGAAAGGAAGAUUAAUACCGCAUAAUGUUGAAAGAUGGCAUCAUUAUUCAACCAAAGGAGCAAUCCGCUAUGAGAUGGACCCGCGGCGCAUUAGCUAGUUGGUGGGGUAACGGCCUACCAAGGCGACGAUGCGUAGCCGACCUGAGAGGGUGAUCGGCCACAUUGGGACUGAGACACGGCCCAGACUCCUACGGGAGGCAGCAGUGGGGAAUAUUGCACAAUGGGGGAAACCCUGAUGCAGCAACGCCGCGUGAGUGAUGAAGGUUUUCGGAUCGUAAAGCUCUGUCUUUGGGGAAGAUAAUGACGGUACCCAAGGAGGAAGCCACGGCUAACUACGUGCCAGCAGCCGCGGUAAUACGUAGGUGGCGAGCGUUAUCCGGAUUUACUGGGCGUAAAGGGAGCGUAGGCGGAUGAUUAAGUGGGAUGUGAAAUACCCGGGCUCAACUUGGGUGCUGCAUUCCAAACUGGUUAUCUAGAGUGCAGGAGAGGAGAGUGGAAUUCCUAGUGUAGCGGUGAAAUGCGUAGA
This 670-nucleotide ribosomal RNA is filed under the name uncultured bacterium. Its description in RNAcentral is "bacterial SSU rRNA". It matches the Rfam family "Bacterial small subunit ribosomal RNA", at positions 9 to 694 of the family's 1533-position model. The record is from RNAcentral.